RNAcentral lists this ribosomal RNA (468 nucleotides) under uncultured bacterium. Its description in RNAcentral is "partial 16S ribosomal RNA". It matches the Rfam family "Bacterial small subunit ribosomal RNA", at positions 28 to 507 of the family's 1533-position model. The record is from RNAcentral.
GACGAACGCUGGCGGCGUGCUUAACACAUGCAAGUCGAACGGAAAGGCCCUGCUUUUGUGGGGUGCUCGAGUGGCGAACGGGUGAGUAACACGUGAGUAACCUGCCCUUGACUUUGGGAUAACUUCAGGAAACUGGGGCUAAUAACGGAUAGGAGCUCCUGCUGAAUGGUGGGGGUUGGAAAGUUUCGGCGGUUGGGGAUGGACUCGCGGCUUAUCAGCUUGUUGGUGGGGUAGUGGCUUACCAAGGCUUUGACGGGUAGCCGGCCUGAGAGGGUGACCGGCCACAUUGGGACUGAGAUACGGCCCAGACUCCUACGGGAGGCAGCAGUGGGGAAUAUUGCACAAUGGGCGGAAGCCUGAUGCAGCAACGCCGCGUGCGGGAUGACGGCCUUCGGGUUGUAAACCGCUUUCGCCUGUGACGAAGCGUGAGUGACGGUAAUGGGUAAAGAAGCACCGGCUAACUACGUG